GGGGAAUAUUGCACAAUGGGCGAAAGCCUGAUGCAGCAACGCCGCGUGAGUGAUGAAGGUCUUCGGAUUGUAAAGCUCUGUCUUUUGGGACGAUAAUGACGGUACCAAAGGAGGAAGCCACGGCUAACUACGUGCCAGCAGCCGCGGUAAUACGUAGGUGGCGAGCGUUGUCCGGAUUUACUGGGCGUAAAGGGUGCGUAGGCGGAUGUUUAAGUGAGAUGUGAAAUACCCGGGCUUAACUUGGGUGCUGCAUUUCAAACUGGAUAUCUAGAGUGCAGGAGAGGAGAAUGGAAUUCCUAGUGUAGCGGUGAAAUGCGUAGAGAUUAGGAAGAACACCAGUGGCGAAGGCGAUUCUCUGGACUGUAACUGACGCUGAGGCACGAAAGCGUGGAUAGCAAACAANCNGAUACCCUGGUAGUCCACGCCGUAAACGAUGAGUACUAGGUGUAGGAGGUAUCGACCCCUUCUGUGCCGCAGUAAACACAUUAAGUACUCCGCCUGGGAAGUACGAUCGCAAGAU
RNAcentral lists this ribosomal RNA (520 nucleotides) under uncultured bacterium. RNAcentral describes it as "partial 16S ribosomal RNA". It matches the Rfam family "Bacterial small subunit ribosomal RNA", at positions 356 to 894 of the family's 1533-position model. The record is from RNAcentral.